AGAGUUUGAUCAUGGCUCAGAAUCACGCNNGGCGGGUGCCUCAGACAUGCAAGUCGAACGAUUAAAGCCCCUUCGGGGGUGUAUAAAGUGGCGCACGGGUGAGUAACACGUAGGUAAUCUACCUUUGAGUGGGGAAUAACAAUCGGAAACGAUUGCUAAUACCGCAUAAUGCAGCGGCAUCAUAAGAUGGCAGUUGUUAAAGGAGCAAUUCGCUUAAAGAGGAGCCUGCGGCAGAUUAGCUAGUUGGUAAGGUAAUGGCUUACCAAGGCAACGAUCUGUAACCGACCUGAGAGGGUGGUCGGUCACACUGACACUGAAUAACGGGUCAGACUCCUACGGGAGGCAGCAGUCGGGAAUUUUGGGCAAUGGGCGAAAGCCUGACCCAGCAACGCCGCGUGAAGGACGAAGUCUUUCGGGAUGUAAACUUCGUAAGAAUAGGAAGAAUAAAUGACGGUACUAUUUGUAAGGUCCGGCUAACUACGUGCCAGCAGCCGCGGUAAUACGUAGGGACCAAGCGUUGUUCGGAUUUACUGGGCGUAAAGGGCGCGUAGGCGGCAAUUCAAGUCAGUUGUGAAAUCUCCGAGCUUAACUCGGAACGGUCAACUGAUACUGCUUUGCUAGAGUACAGAAGGGGCAAUCGGAAUUCUUGGUGUAGCGGUGAAAUGCGUAGAUAUCAAGAGGAACACCUGAGGUGAAGACGGGUUGCUGGGCUGAUACUGACGCUGAGGCGCGAAAGCUAGGGUAGCAAACGGGAUUAGAUACCCUAGUAGUCC
Molecule: ribosomal RNA, 773 nt
Filed under: uncultured bacterium
Lineage: Bacteria
Description: bacterial SSU rRNA
Rfam family: Bacterial small subunit ribosomal RNA
Source: RNAcentral